Molecule: long non-coding RNA, 304 nt
Filed under: Daucus carota (carrot)
Lineage: Eukaryota; Viridiplantae; Streptophyta; Magnoliopsida; Apiales; Apiaceae
Description: long non-coding RNA (DCAR_LNC002108)
Source: RNAcentral
GGGUACGGGGGGAUACGACAAAUAUUUAAAUAUUAAAAAUAUUAUAUAUAUAUAUAUAUAUAAUAAAUAAUUCAUAAGAUGCAUUUAAGUAGAACAAAAUAGCGGAAUAACUAAAUCAACCCUACUAGAGAUAGAAAUACACACACACACACAAGCAAUUAUAUAUAUUUACAAUCUAUAGACACACAUGAGCAGAUAUUACAGAAAACACACUUACCAAUCGACAUACUUGAGCUGGAGAUGCUCUGCUCUCUCUCGUACAGGUACUCAGUUAGUCUAAUUAGGUUUUGAUUCCUCUUUUCUU